Molecule: long non-coding RNA, 618 nt
Organism: Siniperca chuatsi (mandarin fish)
Lineage: Eukaryota; Metazoa; Chordata; Actinopteri; Centrarchiformes; Sinipercidae
Exons: 3
Source: RefSeq, a predicted model, not a curated record
GAUCCGUACGUCUCCGUCAUGACUGGACGCCAGCAGGUACUGGUUCUUCCUGUUCCACUUCACCUGAGACGCCCCGGCUGGAAUCGAGAGACGGAGAGGACGGGAUGAAAAGAUAAAACAGAUCAUCGUCAGUUUGUAGAUCAAUAAAGACAAAGAACGCAAACAGGAGCGCUGCACUACAUCCACUGCUGAGAUGAAAGUUACUCCAUCACUACUGCUGCCUCGGGUCUUUUCGAAGCUGCAUUAUUUUCAGGUGGCAACACGUCUGAAGAGCCAAAACAACAAACCAAUGAGCUCAAAGCAAACAUGUAGGUUGCAUGUUUUUGAUGAUGCGUUCAAAGAUGCUCUGAAAUUUAAAUCUCAUCUGCAAAAAGUCAUUUGACUUGCGCUAGGUUCUUUUUUUAUUUAAAUAUGCAGUAAACACCGAACAACGUUCAGAGCACGAGGUCAGAAACAAAAGCACACAAACACCUGGUUGUUCCUGAACUCUUCACUCAAGUCUCUGCAAGCUGACUUUCAUAGAAAUAAACUGAAACCAGUGUCUGCCCGGACGAAAGGAGAUCAAUCUGCAAACUGAUCAACGGGAAUAAAAAGGAAACACGGCCCGGUCCUUAAAAU